UCCGCCUAGCUUAAAUUUAAAGCGUUAGUUUGAAGAGCUGAAGAUAUUAUAUUGUGGUGGGA
This 62-nucleotide transfer RNA is filed under the name Haplorchis taichui. RNAcentral describes it as "tRNA-Phe". The record is from RNAcentral. Lineage: Eukaryota; Metazoa; Platyhelminthes; Trematoda; Opisthorchiida; Heterophyidae.